This 402-nucleotide ribosomal RNA is filed under the name bacterium. RNAcentral's name for it is "partial 16S ribosomal RNA". It matches the Rfam family "Bacterial small subunit ribosomal RNA", at positions 355 to 776 of the family's 1533-position model. The record is from RNAcentral.
UGGGGAAUUUUGCACAAUGGGGGAAACCCUGAUGCAGCGACGCCGCGUGAUUUAGAAGGCCUUCGGGUUGUAAAAAUCUUUUCUAUGGGAAGAAAAUGACAGUACCAUAGGAAUAAGGACCGGCUAAUUACGUGCCAGCAGCCGCGGUAAUACGUAAGGUCCGAGCGUUGUCCGGAAUCAUUGGGCGUAAAGGGUACGUAGGCGGGUAAGCAAGUUAGAAGUGAAAUCCUAUAGCUCAACUAUAGUAAGCUUUUAAAACUGCUCAGCUUGAGCUAUGGAAGGGAAAGUGGAAUUCCUAGUUUAGCGGUGAAAUGCGCAGAUAAUAGGAGGAAUACCGGUGGCGAAGGCGACUUUCUGGCCAUAACCUGACGAUGAGGUACGAAAGCGUAGGUAGCAAACAGG